AGCAGCCGCGGUAAUUCCAGCUCCAAUAGCGUAUAUUAAAGUUGUUGCAGUUAAAAAGCUCGUAGUUGAAUUUUAGGCCUGGCCGGGCGGUCCGUCUUUGGCGAGUACUGUCCUGUGUCGGGUCUUCCUUCUGGUGAACCAGUAUGUCCUUUAUUGGGUGUGCCGGGGAGCCAGGACCAUUACCUUGAAAAAAUUAGAGUGUUUAAAGCGGGCUUUUGCUUGAAUAGAUUAGCAUGGAAUAAUAGAAUAGGACGUUGUGGUUCUAUUUUGUUGGUUUCUAGGACCACCGUAAUGAUUAAUAGGGAUAGUUGGGGGCAUUAGUAUUCAAUUGUCAGAGGUGAAAUUCUUGGAUUUAUUGAAGACUAACUACUGCGAAAGCAUUUGCCAAGGAUGUUUUCAUUAAUCAAGAACGAAAGUUAGGGGAUCGAAGACGAUCAGAUACCGUCGUAG
Molecule: ribosomal RNA, 450 nt
Filed under: uncultured Glomeromycotina
Lineage: Eukaryota; Fungi; Glomeromycota
Description: SSU rRNA
Rfam family: Eukaryotic small subunit ribosomal RNA
Source: RNAcentral